UUGAGAGUUUUGUUGGGUUUGACUCACUUGAGCUAUGAACAAGAUUGAAUGUUGUUGGUGAAAAAUCAAAUUGGAGGUCAAACUUGUGAAAUUGAAGCUUUGGAUCAAUUUUGGAAGCUAGGAUUCAUUGGUGAGGGGCGGUGGUUGAUAGCUUGUGUUGCAGGGAACGCUUCAGGUGUUCCGAGUUUAUC
This is a non-coding RNA of Arachis ipaensis, 191 nucleotides long. NCBI's taxonomy places the organism in Eukaryota, Viridiplantae, Streptophyta, Magnoliopsida, Fabales, Fabaceae. The record is from RefSeq and is a predicted model, not a curated record.